This 484-nucleotide ribosomal RNA is filed under the name uncultured bacterium. RNAcentral describes it as "partial 16S ribosomal RNA". It matches the Rfam family "Bacterial small subunit ribosomal RNA", at positions 30 to 507 of the family's 1533-position model. The record is from RNAcentral.
AUUGAACGCUGGCGGCAGGCCUAACACAUGCAAGUCGAGCGGAUGAAGGGAGCUUGCUCCUGGAUUCAGCGGAGGACGGGUGAGUAAUGCCUAGGAAUCUGCCUGGUAGUGGGGGAUAACGUCCGGAAACGGGCGCUAACACCGCAUACGUCCUGAGGGAGAAAGUGGGGGAUCUUCGGACCUCACGCUAUCAGAUGAGCCUAGGUCGGAUUAGCUAGUUGGUGGGGUAAAGGCCUACCAAGGCGACGAUCCGUAACUGGUCUGAGAGGAUGAUCAGUCACACUGGAGCUGAGACACGGUCCAGACUCCUACGGGAGGCAGCAGUGGGGAAUAUUGGACAAUGGGCGAAAGCCUGAUCCAGCCAGGCCGCGUGUGUGAAGAAGGUCUUCGGAUUGUAAAGCACUUUAAGUUGGGAGGAAGGGCAGUAAGUUAAUACCUUGCUGUUUUGACGUUACCAACAGAAUAAGCACCGGCUAACUUCGUG